CAGACAAGAAAACUUCGUAUCUUCAGUUACACAGCAAAAAGCAAGAGAAGUUCUUCAAGAGCAGAUUGCAGAUACUAAAACUGUUGAUGAGGAACCAGUUCAGAGUGUCCCACCAUUCCAGAACGUGAAAAUGGACCCUGAAGACAAGUGGUACCUGAAGUCACAGCAGCUCAAGGAUCACCAAAACAAGUGGUCCCAGAGAAAGAAGAUAAAAUCCAACCAGAGUCUCAAAGGGGGAGCUUUCUCAAGGAGUGAUAACCAACAGCCAGCAGGAAGACCUAGCAGAACCAAAGCCUUGGCAUCGCCCAACGUCAGAAUUUCGGACAGCUCCCACACAGGCAGCAGAGCAAGACAACAGCAGUGCACCGCAGAAAUGGCUGUGCCCCAGUCUUUCUGUCGGACCUGA
This 406-nucleotide long non-coding RNA is filed under the name Anas platyrhynchos (mallard). RNAcentral's name for it is "lncRNA (ENSAPLG00020002149.1)". The record is from RNAcentral. Lineage: Eukaryota; Metazoa; Chordata; Aves; Anseriformes; Anatidae.